GUGCCAGCCGCCGCGGUAAUACGAAUCGUCCAAACGUUGUUCGGAUUCACUGGGUUUAAAGGGCGCGUAGGCGGUGCGUUAAGUCGGCGGUGAAAUGCUUCGGCUCAACCGGAGAAUUGCCGCUGAAACUGGCGUGCUAGAGGGAGGUAGAGGUGUGUGGAACUUCCGGUGGAGUGGUGAAAUACGUUGAUAUCGGAAGGAACACCUGUGGCGAAAGCGAUGCACUGGACCUCUUCUGACGCUGAGGCGCGAAAGCUAGGGUAGCGAACGGGAUUAGAUACCCCGGUAGUCCUAGCCUUAAACGAUGGGUACUAGAGAGUAGACGCUCCGAUGCAUUUGCUCUCGAAGCAAAAGUGAUAAGUACCCCACCUGGGGAGUAUGGUCGCAAGGCUGAA
Molecule: ribosomal RNA, 395 nt
Filed under: uncultured bacterium
Lineage: Bacteria
Description: bacterial SSU rRNA
Rfam family: Bacterial small subunit ribosomal RNA
Source: RNAcentral